CCUCCUCCUCGGGCUGCGGCUCCUCUUCCUCCUCGUCCUCCUCCUCCUCGUCCACUUCCUCCGGCGACGGCGGGCCGAUCUUGCUGCAGGUGCUGUUUGUGCAAUACGGUGUUACAAGAUGAUAUUCUAAAAAAUUGAACAAUGGUUGGCAUUGAGUGUCCAGAAUCAACAUCUCCCAGCAUAUAACAAAAUGGAACCUGUGUGUUGUCUUCCAAGAAGUUACUAACAACUUCCGUAUAUGAGGAUAUGGUUUUAUGGUUCUAUCAAUGGGUUUGUGGACUGAGUAUUGUUUUUAAUUUAAUGACUGUUAUGACAAUUUGGUUAUAAUUAAUUGCUAUUGUUUUAACUCUGUAUUUAUUUAUGGUUUUAUGCUGUGUUGUUGAUUUGUGGCAUCGAAUUGCUGCCUUUGUUAGCCGCUCUGAGUCCUCCCGGGGCGAGGGGGUUGAGAAGGGCAGGGUAAAAAUGCUGUAAAUAAAUAAAUAAUAAAUAGCUCCAGUGCAGUCUAGAAGAACUGAUGUGAAGAUACAUAUCACUGGCACAACAGCAAGACAUUACAAUAGGUCAAGAGUUCCCAAAGCGUACUCCAUGGCACUGUGCUGCUUCUCUCUUCCUCCUCCAAUUGUUAGCUGCUAAACUUUUGUUGAAAUAAAACUAGCUUAUGAAACUGCCAGUCUUGGACGUCAUUUUGAAACUCAUCCUGUCUUCAAGAUACAUGGCUACAAAAACUAAACUACAAGAACAUAGGCAGCUAGAACUAAACUCCACGAGAAAUUUGCUUCAAAAAGGGCUCCGUGGCUGAAAAAGUUUGGGAAUUCCUGCACUAGGUAGAAAUUCAAAUACCACAAAAGCCCUUCCUCAGACUGUAUAAUUGUGUAACAGAUGUCAAAAUUGAGGAAUCUGAAGUCUUCAAUAAGGGAUCAAAUUAUACCAGGAACAGCCAGUGGCAGCUGGUGGAUUCCAGUGCAUCUGACUUAGUCUGACUUUUAAACAAGCUAUUCAGUGCAUUGAACUUGUUGAGGAAUAAGACUAUGCACUUUAGAUUGUUGCUUAAAAUUUGGAGUUUGGGAGGAAGGGUGCCUUAUCGACAUGGAAAAUAGAAUAGCUGCAGAGUGUAGCUUAAGGGCUAGUCUGAAAACAUGUAAGGUGUUUCAAAAAAGAGACCCUGUGUAUAACUCUUUAGCCAUAAACCACCCCCGAAUGAAAUUGUUAUGAUUUGAAAAAGAGGACCAUAGAGUUUCAAAUGAUGACCUCUAGGUGCCUAUACGAGCGUACAGACAGACCUUAGCCUCAGUUAUUUGUGGGGCUGUAACUCUGCAAAGUAAGCCUUAAUGCGAUAUUCUCAAUUUGCAGGGUUAUUUUUUAGAUUUGUUUCUGACUCAAAAUGGUAAGUAAAACAUGAUAACUUGAGAACUCGUUUAACCAUUUGUAACUGUUGGUGUAAUUUUAACAUGUUGCCAUUGUGAAGUAUACUGCUUUGAAACUGGCUCCAUCAUUUUGAAACACCUUAUAUUUUGUACUGAAGUGCAUGUUUGAUUUAUUCUUGUAGCCUUAAUAUAUUUUUAUAUUCAAUAAAGUACUAUUUUUGUAAA
Anolis sagrei ordinatus is the source of this 1589-nucleotide non-coding RNA. The record is from RefSeq and is a predicted model, not a curated record. Lineage: Eukaryota; Metazoa; Chordata; Lepidosauria; Squamata; Anolidae.